RNAcentral lists this transfer RNA (75 nucleotides) under Minisyncoccota bacterium. RNAcentral describes it as "tRNA-Arg". It matches the Rfam family "tRNA". Rfam says of the family: Transfer RNA (tRNA) molecules are approximately 80 nucleotides in length. The record is from RNAcentral. Lineage: Bacteria; Bacillati; Minisyncoccota.
GCUCCCGUAGUUUAAUGGAUAGAAUGCAGGUUUGCGGUACCUGCGAUCUAGGUUCGAUUCCUAGCGGGAGCACCA